RNAcentral lists this small RNA (1664 nucleotides) under Pan troglodytes (chimpanzee). Its description in RNAcentral is "processed transcript". Lineage: Eukaryota; Metazoa; Chordata; Mammalia; Primates; Hominidae. The record is from RNAcentral.
CCACAUCGGCGGCACUUGUCCUACCGCUGAGUCACCCCUGGGUCCUAACUCGGUGCGGAAGCGAGAAGCUCCGGCUGGUGCUUGGUAAAGAAGGCGUGAGGAGCCGGAACUCCUACCUUGAACCCGGAGAAGGCCAAGGGUCACUCUUUGCUCCGUUCAUCUUUUCGUGCCUAGUAUGACUGCCUUAAACAAACAAACAAAAAGUUAAACGUGCUUCCUGGAAGAAAAAGCAACUGGUUUGUAGUAGGGCAUGCUGCGGUGUAUAGUUUCUUCAGAAGCGCGAAGGCAGUCGUAGCUUUGGCUGGAUAUAUUGUCUGGAGUCUGAUUUUAUAGGAACUGGAAUUUAGAAUGGUUUUCAAGAGAUUUCUCAUCAUGCCGAUUCCAAUUGACCAAAAUUUUUCUGACUUUUUAAAAGUUUAAAGCAAGUUUUAAAAAACUUUUGUGGUAUGAAAAUGCUCACAAUAUUAAGUUGUACAUAUAUAUGCUGUAGACAUUUUUACUUUCAGUUUCUGUUUUCGUCAGUUAAGUUUUUACAUAGCUACUCUUUUUUAAAGUCAGGGAAGGCAGACAUUUUCUUUGUACUGAGUGGUAUGAGAAGCUGCAUUUCCUGUCAAGUAUAUGCUGAUCCUGUCAAAGUUUUACCACCUGCACUUACCACUUUUUCAUCUUUUUUACUGACUCAUAGAAGAUGUGUGUGAAGUUUUGACAUAUUUCCCCACUGUCCUAAAGUGACUUUGUUGGUCGAUAUUUAACUUCCAGAACAUUGAAGAGAAUCAUCUUCGGGUGACAUAAUUUUGAGUUAGGGGGCGUGAAUACUUUUUCUCCCGAAGGAAGAUUAUUUCAAGUGGAAUAUGCCAUUGAGGCUAUCAAGCUUGGUUCUACAGCCAUUGGGAUCCAGACAUCAGAGGGUGUGUGCCUAGCUGUGGAGAAGAGAAUUACUUCCCCACUGAUGGAGCCCAGCAGCAUUGAGAAAAUUGUAGAGAUUGAUGCUCACAUAGGUUGUGCCAUGAGUGGGCUAAUUGCUGAUGCUAAGACUUUAAUUGAUAAAGCCAGAGUGGAGACACAGAACCACUGGUUCACCUACAAUGAGACAAUGACAGUGGAGAGUGUGACCCAAGCUGUGUCCAAUCUGGCUUUGCAGUUUGGAGAAGAAGAUGCAGAUCCAGGUGCCAUGUCUCGUCCCUUUGGAGUAGCAUUAUUAUUUGGAGGAGUUGAUGAGAAAGGACCCCAGCUGUUUCAUAUGGACCCAUCUGGGACCUUUGUACAGUGUGAUGCUCGAGCAAUUGGCUCUGCUUCAGAGGGUGCCCAGAGCUCCUUGCAAGAAGUUUACCACAAGUCUAUGACUUUGAAAGAAGCCAUCAAGUCUUCACUCAUCAUCCUCAAACAAGUAAUGGAGGAGAAGCUGAAUGCAACAAACAUUGAGCUAGCCACAGUGCAGCCUGGCCAGAAUUUCCACAUGUUCACAAAGGAAGAACUUGAAGAGGUUAUCAAGGACAUUUAAGGAAUCCUGAUCCUCAGAACUUCUCUGGGACAAUUUCAGUUCUAAUAAUGUCCUUAAAUUUUAUUUCCAGCUCCUGUUCCUUGGAAAAUCUCCAUUGUAUGUGCAUUUUUUUAAUGAUGUCUGUACAUAAAGGCAGUUCUGAAAUAAAGAAAAUUUUAAAAGA